Molecule: ribosomal RNA, 433 nt
Filed under: uncultured bacterium
Lineage: Bacteria
Description: partial 16S ribosomal RNA
Rfam family: Bacterial small subunit ribosomal RNA
Source: RNAcentral
AACGAACGCUGGCGGCAUGCCUAACACAUGCAAGUCGAACGAGACCUUCGGGUCUAGUGGCGCACGGGUGCGUAACGCGUGGGAACCUGCCCUUAGGUUCGGAAUAACUCUCCGACAGGGGUGCUAAUACCGGAUAAUGUCUUCGGACCAAAGAUUUAUCGCCUUUGGAUGGGCCCGCGUUGGAUUAGCUAGUUGGUAGGGUAAAAGCCUACUAAGGCGAGGAUCCAUAGCUGGUCAGAGAGGAUGAUCAGCAACACUGGGACGGGGACACGGCCCAGACUCCUACGGGAGGCAGCAGUGGGGAAUAUUGGACAAUGGGCGAAAGCCUGAUCCAGCAAUGCCGCGUGAGUGAUGAAGGCCUUAGGGUUGUAAAGCUCUUUUACCCGGGAUGAUAAUGACAGUACCGGGAGAAUAAGCUCCGGCUAACUCCGUG